AUGUUUGGGGGGGCUUUGAGGGGGUCUGGGGGGCUUUGGAGGGAUUUGGGGGGUCUGGGGGGGGUUUGGGGGGUCUGGGGGGUCCCAUGGGCCAGACCUGACCCCUCCCCCACCCCCACAGGUGCCCCCCCCCGCCAUGGAGCCCCCCCAGGGCAGCGGCGGCUUCCGGCCCGAGACCCCCACGGUGCCGCCCUACAGGUGAGGCAGGAGCUGCCCCCUCCCCCCUCGGAGUUCUACGGGCAGGGCCAGGGCGGCUUCCCCCAGGUGAGGGGGGGAGGGGCGGGUGGGGGUGGGGGAGGGGCACACACACCUAUGGGGGUGGGGGAGGGGCGCACACACACCUAUGGGGGUGGGGGAGGGGCGCACACACCUAUGGGGGUGGGGGAGGGGCGCACACACCUAUGGGGGUGGGGGAGGGGCAGGUGGGGGGUGGGGGAGGGGCACACACGCCUGGGGGGUGGGGGAGGGGCAGAUGGGAUUGGGGGGGAGGGGCACACACGCCUGGGGGGUGGGGGAGGGGCACACACACCUAUGGGGGUGGGGGAGGGGCACACCUAUGGGGGUGGGGGAAGGGCAGAUGGGAUUGGGGGGGAGGGGCGCACACACCUAUGGGGGUGGGGGAGGGGCAGGUGGGGGGUGGGGGAGGGGCACACACACCUAUGGGGUGGGGGAGGGGCAGAUGGGAUUGGGGGGGAGGGGCACACACACCUAUGGGGGGGUGGGGGAGGGGCACUCACACCUAUGGAGGUGGGGGAGGGGCAGAUGGGAUGGGGGGAGGGGCACACACACCUAUGGUGGGGGAGGGGCACACACACCUAUGGGGUGGGGGAGGGGCAGAUGG
RNAcentral lists this long non-coding RNA (841 nucleotides) under Taeniopygia guttata (zebra finch). RNAcentral's name for it is "lncRNA (ENSTGUG00000028934.1)". Lineage: Eukaryota; Metazoa; Chordata; Aves; Passeriformes; Estrildidae. The record is from RNAcentral.